UACGGAGGGGGCAAGCGUUGUUCGGAUUUACUGGGCGUAAAGGGUGUGUAGGCGGUUGCGCAAGUCUGGUGUGAAAUCUUCACCGCUUAACGGGAAGAGGUCACUGGAAACUGCGUAACUCGAGUAUGGUAGAGGCAAGCGGAAUUCCUGGUGUAGCGGUGGAAUGUGUAGAUAUCAGGAAGAACAUCUGUGGCGAAGGCGGCUUGCUGGGCCAUCACUGACGCUGAGACACGAAAGCGUGGGGAGCAAAAGGG
This 254-nucleotide ribosomal RNA is filed under the name uncultured bacterium. RNAcentral's name for it is "partial 16S ribosomal RNA". It matches the Rfam family "Bacterial small subunit ribosomal RNA", at positions 524 to 776 of the family's 1533-position model. The record is from RNAcentral.